RNAcentral lists this unclassified non-coding RNA (290 nucleotides) under uncultured fungus. RNAcentral's name for it is "partial contains 5.8S ribosomal RNA, internal transcribed spacer 2, and large subunit ribosomal RNA". The record is from RNAcentral. Lineage: Eukaryota; Fungi.
AACGCACAUUGCGCCCGCCAGCACUCUGGCGGGCAUGCCUGUCCGAGCGUCAUCCCGAACCUCAGGCGCCGCAACGCACCCUCCAGCGGUGCGGGCAGCCUGGCGUUGGGGCGCUACGGCGCGCUGCGGCGCUGUCCGUAGGCUCCGAAAUACAUUGGCGGGACCGUCCAGACCCCGAGCGCAGUAGUCUUCCUCUCGCUCAGGGCCGUCCGGCGCGGUCUUCCAGAAGGCGAGACGCUAUUCGACGCUAGAUUGACCUCGGAUCAGGUAGGGAUACCCGCUGAACUUAA